GACUACCGGGGUAUCUAAUCCUGUUUGCUCCCCACGCUUUCGCACCUCAGCGUCAGUAUUGGCCCAGGUCGCCGCCUUCGCCACUGGUAUUCCUCCCGAUAUCUACGAAUUUCACCUCUACACCGGGAAUUCUGCGACCCUCUUCCAUACUCAAGCCUCACAGUUUCGGAUGCACGUCCUCGGUUAAGCCGAGGGAUUUCACAUCCGACUUAUGAAGCCGCCUACGUGCGCUUUACGCCCAAUGAUUCCGAGCAACGUUUGCACCCUUCGUAUUACCGCGGCUGCUGGCACGAAGUUAGCCGGUGCUUGCUAAGGAGGUACCGUCAAUCGCCACUCUUCAUGGCGCCGUUCGUCCCUCCCCACAGAGCUUUACGACCCGAAGGCCUUCAUCACUCACGCGGCGUGGCUGGAUCAGGCUUGCGCCCAUUGUCCAAUAUUCCCCACUGCAGCCCCCCGUAGG
This 460-nucleotide ribosomal RNA is filed under the name uncultured Myxococcales bacterium. RNAcentral's name for it is "partial 16S ribosomal RNA". Lineage: Bacteria; Pseudomonadati; Myxococcota; Myxococcia; Myxococcales. The record is from RNAcentral.